CCCAUCUCAGGGUCGCACCUGGAGGGUUUCCAGUACUCUACCAGUCCCAAUUAGGGGAGGGAGAGUAAAGCAGAGGCUUAUCCGUUCCAUUCCUAGCUUGGACAGUGGCUAGCAAAUGGAAGGCAAUCUGCUACAAGU
Molecule: small nucleolar RNA, 138 nt
Organism: Tachyglossus aculeatus (Australian echidna)
Lineage: Eukaryota; Metazoa; Chordata; Mammalia; Monotremata; Tachyglossidae
Source: RefSeq, a predicted model, not a curated record